AUUGAACGCUGGCGGCAUGCCUUACACAUGCAAGUCGAACGGCAGCACGGGAGCAAUCCUGGUGGCGAGUGGCGAACGGGUGAGUAAUAUAUCGGAACGUGCCCAGUCGUGGGGAUAACGUAGCGAAAGCUACGCUAAUACCGCAUACGAUCUACGGAUGAAAGCGGGGGAUCGCAAGACCUCGCGCGAUUGGAGCGGCCGAUAUCAGAUUAGGUAGUUGGUGAGGUAAAGGCUCACCAAGCCGACGAUCUGUAGCUGGUCUGAGAGGACGACCAGCCACACUGGGACUGAGACACGGCCCAGACUCCUACGGGAGGCAGCAGUGGGGAAUUUUGGACAAUGGGCGCAAGCCUGAUCCAGCAAUGCCGCGUGCAGGAUGGAGGCCUCGGUUGUAACUAG
RNAcentral lists this ribosomal RNA (399 nucleotides) under uncultured bacterium. RNAcentral's name for it is "bacterial SSU rRNA". It matches the Rfam family "Bacterial small subunit ribosomal RNA", at positions 30 to 432 of the family's 1533-position model. The record is from RNAcentral.